UGAGUACGAGAUGCUACGGCGUCGAAGCAGUCUAGGUCAUACUUCCAAGCAAAGCUUGCACUGUCAUAAACAAAGAAUGCCUGUACCAUAACCGACACAGGUGGGUAGGUAGAGUAUACUAAGGGGCGCGAGAUAACUCUCUCUAAGGAACUCGGCAAAAUGACUCCGUAACUUCGGGAGAAGGAGUGCCUUAUCUUUAAGGUUGCAAUAACAAGAUCCAAGCAACUGUUUACCAAAAACACAGGUCUCCGCUAAGUCGUAAGACGAUGUAUGGGGGCUGACGCCUGCCCAGUGCCAGAAGGUUAAAGAAGUUGGUUAGCAUUUGCGAAGCUGAUAACUGAAGCCCUGGUGAACGGCGGCCGUAACAAUAACGGUCCUAAGGUAGCGAAAUUCCUUGUCGGGUAAGUUCCGACCCGCACGAAAGGCGUAAUGAUUUGGAUACUGUCUCGGAGAGGGGCUCGGUGAAAUAGACUUGUCUGUGAAGAUGCGGACCACCUGCACCUGGACAGAAAGACCCUAUGAAGCUUUACUGUAACUUGAGAUUGAAAUUGGACUUUAUUUGCGCAGUAUAGGUGGGAGGCGUUGAGAAUAAUCUUGCGGGAUUAUCGGAGCCAUCAGUGAGAUACCACUCUUGUAAUGUUAGAUUUCUAACUUUGUAUCAUUAUCUGGUCAAAGAACAGUUUCAGGCGGGCAGUUUGACUGGGGCGGUCGCCUCCCAAAGGGUAACGGAGGCGCACAAAGGUUUCCUCUGAACGGGUAGAAAUCGUAUCUAGGGUGUAAAGGCAUAAGGAAGCUUGACUGUGAGACCUACAAGUCGAGCAGGGACGAAAGUCGGUCUUAGUGAUCUGACGGUGCUGAGUGGAAAGGCCGUCACUCAACGGAUAAAAGUUACUCUAGGAUAACAGGCUGAUCUCCCCCAAGAGUUCACAUCGACGGGGAGGUUUGGCACCUCGAUGUUGGCUCAUCGCAUCCUGGGGCGGUAGUACGUCCCAAGGGUUGGGCUGUUCGCCCAUGAAAGCGGUACGCGAGCUGGGUUCAGAACGUCGUGAAACAGUUCGGUCCAUAUCCGGUGUAGGCGUUAGAAUAUUGAAAGGAGCCUUCUCUAGUACGAGAGGACCGAGAAGGACAUACCUCUGGUGUGCCAGUUAUCGUGCCAACGGUAAACGCUGGGUAGCUAUGUAUGGAGUGGAUAACCGCUGAAAGCAUCUAAGUGGGAAGCCCACCUUAAGAUAAG
Molecule: ribosomal RNA, 1234 nt
Filed under: metagenome
Description: bacterial LSU rRNA
Rfam family: Bacterial large subunit ribosomal RNA
Source: RNAcentral